UAUAUUUUGGCCUGGUGGUUAAAGCGUCCGUCUCGGAUGUGGAAGGUCGCAGGUUCAAAACCCGGCUGAGUCAUAU
Molecule: non-coding RNA, 76 nt
Organism: Potamilus streckersoni
Lineage: Eukaryota; Metazoa; Mollusca; Bivalvia; Unionida; Unionidae
Source: the annotation of a GenBank genome assembly